AAGUUAGUAAUUAUGAUAGAGUCACAAAAGCACGUAAUGGUAAAAGGUGUUAGGCACCCCUCAAGAUCUACCAGUGUGGUUUCCGACCGUACUUAGUUGUGACUUUAAGAAGAGUAGAAAUAAGAGAUAAUACAUAUGGAGACACCUAAAGUAGGCAAGAUCUUUCACUUACACACUCAAACUAGGUGUUUUUCCAGUAAGACACGUUUCUUAAGCAAUUCUCAUACCAAUUAGACACGUUUUUUGUUGGCUUAUUCAUUAUUGUGUAGGGAUUUGCUGCAGCUUUGAAAGAAAUUUUACCGAAUACUGAAUUUAGGAUGUGUGCGAGGCAUAUAUGGUAUAAUUGGCAUAAGAAUUGGAAAGGAGAGAAAAGGAAAAAAUAGUUUUGGAGGUG
RNAcentral lists this long non-coding RNA (394 nucleotides) under Nicotiana benthamiana. RNAcentral describes it as "long non-coding RNA (NBEN_LNC024345)". Lineage: Eukaryota; Viridiplantae; Streptophyta; Magnoliopsida; Solanales; Solanaceae. The record is from RNAcentral.